RNAcentral lists this long non-coding RNA (242 nucleotides) under Elaeis guineensis (African oil palm). Its description in RNAcentral is "long non-coding RNA (EGUI_LNC014709)". Lineage: Eukaryota; Viridiplantae; Streptophyta; Magnoliopsida; Arecales; Arecaceae. The record is from RNAcentral.
GCAUGGAGUUUCCUCUGGUGUGGACAUGAGAUUCCCCUUAGCAUAAGCUAUCCUUGGGCAUGGUGUCUCCCUUAUGGCGGCAUGUGGAAUCCUUUCCAAGCCAUUGAGAUUAGAUCUCAAAGCUCUCCUCUCCUUCUCCUCUGAAGAAGUGCCUCAAGUCUUCAUCCCUCUCUCCUACGUUACUUGACAUGUAUACGAAAGAGAGGAUCUGCACAUCCAAAUCUCGUGAAGCAACUGAUUUC